CGGUGGACUGGAGUGGGUGG
This 20-nucleotide microRNA is filed under the name Homo sapiens (human). RNAcentral's name for it is "hsa-miR-8071". The record is from miRBase by way of RNAcentral. Lineage: Eukaryota; Metazoa; Chordata; Mammalia; Primates; Hominidae.